UGGGGAAUUUUCCGCAAUGGGCGAAAGCCUGACGGAGCAAUGCCGCGUGAAGGUAGAAGGCCUACGGGUCAUGAACUUCUUUUCCCGGAGAAGAAGCAAUGACGGUAUCCGGGGAAUAAGCACCGGCUAACUCCGUGCCAGCAGCCGCGGUAAUACGGGGGGUGCAAGCGUUGUCCGGAAUCAUUGGGCGUAAAGCGUUCGUAGGCGGUAUAUCAAGUCUGGUGUUAAAGCCCGGGGCUCAACUCCGGUUCAGCAUCGGAUACUGGUAAACUAGAAUGCGGUAGAGGUAAGGGGAAUUCCUGGUGUAGCGGUGAAAUGCGUAGAUAUCAGGAGGAACAUCGGUGGCGAAAGCGCCUUACUGGGCCGUUAUUGACGCUGAGGAACGAAAGCCGGGGGAGCAAAUG
RNAcentral lists this ribosomal RNA (404 nucleotides) under uncultured bacterium. RNAcentral describes it as "bacterial SSU rRNA". It matches the Rfam family "Bacterial small subunit ribosomal RNA", at positions 355 to 774 of the family's 1533-position model. The record is from RNAcentral.